RNAcentral lists this ribosomal RNA (447 nucleotides) under uncultured bacterium. RNAcentral's name for it is "bacterial SSU rRNA". It matches the Rfam family "Bacterial small subunit ribosomal RNA", at positions 355 to 825 of the family's 1533-position model. The record is from RNAcentral.
UGGGGAAUAUUGGACAAUGGGCGAAAGCCUGAUCCAGCAAUGCCGCGUGAGUGAUGAAGGCCUUAGGGUUGUAAAGCUCUUUUACCAGGGAUGAUAAUGACAGUACCUGGAGAAUAAGCUCCGGCUAACUCCGUGCCAGCAGCCGCGGUAAUACGGAGGGAGCUAGCGUUGUUCGGAAUUACUGGGCGUAAAGCGUACGUAGGCGGUGACUCGAGUCAGAGGUGAAAGCCUGGAGCUCAACUCCAGAACUGCCUUUGAAACUAGGUCGCUAGAAUCACGGAGAGGUGAGUGGAAUUCCGAGUGUAGAGGUGAAAUUCGUAGAUAUUCGGAAGAACACCAGUGGCGAAGGCGGCUCACUGGACGUGUAUUGACGCUGAGGUACGAAAGCGUGGGGAGCAAACAGGAUUAGAUACCCCCGUAGUCCCUGAGCGGGCUGGCAAGGCGCAU